GACGAACGCUGGCGGCGUGCUUAACACAUGCAAGUCGAACGGAAAGACCCUGCUUUUGUGGGGUGCUCGAGUGGCGAACGGGUGAGUAGCACGUGAGUAACCUGCCCUUGACUUUGGGAUAACUUCAGGAAACUGGGGCUAAUACCGGAUAGGAGCUCCUGCUGCAUGGUGGGGGUUGGAAAGUUUCGGCGGUUGGGGAUGGACUCGCGGCUUAUCAGCUUGUUGGUGGGGUAGUGGCUUACCAAGGCUUUGACGGGUAGCCGGCCUGAGAGGGUGACCGGCCACAUUGGGACUGAGAUACGGCCCAGACUCCUACGGGAGGCAGCAGUGGGGAAUAUUGCACAAUGGGCGGAAGCCUGAUGCAGCAACGCCGCGUGCGGGAUGACGGCCUUCGGGUUGUAAACCGCUUUCGCCUGUGACGAAGCGUGAGUGACGGUAAUGGGUAAAGAAGCACCGACUAACUACGUG
RNAcentral lists this ribosomal RNA (468 nucleotides) under uncultured bacterium. Its description in RNAcentral is "partial 16S ribosomal RNA". It matches the Rfam family "Bacterial small subunit ribosomal RNA", at positions 28 to 507 of the family's 1533-position model. The record is from RNAcentral.